UAAAAGUGAACAUAAAAACUUGAAUAAGCAUUGAAAUAAUCAAUUCAAACAACACUGUAUCUUUCAGAGAUUUUAUGGAGAGCAUUGAGAAUAUUGGUUGGAGAAGGAAAUGGCAGUCCACUCCAGUACUCUUGCCUGGAGAAUUCCAAGUACAGCGAAGCCUGGUGGGCUACAGUCCAUGGGAUUGCAAAGAGUCAGACACGGCUUUGCAACUUUCACUUUCGCUUGAGAAUAUUGGAAAGAGAUUUGGUCGUGCCCACUCUUCACAGUAAAACACUCGUGGAGCUGGUAUAACUGGCAAAGAGUUUACGGUGUUUGAGGAACUGGCAAGAAAUGGAAGGAAGGCUGGAUUAUGAGUGUAAAUGUGAAGA
This 371-nucleotide long non-coding RNA is filed under the name Capra hircus (goat). Its description in RNAcentral is "lncRNA (ENSCHIG00000007102.1)". The record is from RNAcentral. Lineage: Eukaryota; Metazoa; Chordata; Mammalia; Artiodactyla; Bovidae.